Molecule: small RNA, 126 nt
Filed under: Salmonella enterica
Lineage: Bacteria; Pseudomonadati; Pseudomonadota; Gammaproteobacteria; Enterobacterales; Enterobacteriaceae
Also listed under: 6 other names
Description: RtT sRNA
Rfam family: RtT RNA
About the family: This family represents a bacterial cis-regulatory element known as RtT RNA. The exact function of RtT is unknown although it is thought that it may be involved in changing the cellular response in relation to amino acid starvation.
Source: RNAcentral
UUGCUAUCUGCGAUAUGGAAGAUUCGAACCUGCCGCAGGUUCGGGUCUCACGCAGUGAGACAACGGAGCCGUUUACGGCGACGGCCCGAAGGGCGAGCGAAGCGAGUCAUCCUGCACGACCCACCA